UAUUCUGAUACUGUGCCCUUUCACCCCAGGAGCCAUUCAUUGAUACCUGUGCUAUGGAUGCAGUUUCUCUCAGGGACGUUCACCCUAGGACCGUGCUUUUAUGCCACAUUUACAAUGGGGCUUUUUAAUCUUAUUGCCCGAGUGGAACGUUUCCUUCCCGCAUACGAUUACAUCUCUGCUGAUUCACAAGGAGCAAGGUUAUAUGUUCCUCAUGCAGCCCUUGGCCGAAGAAGACCUGCUUCCAGGCUAUGAAAGACAAGAUCAUGUUGGAGUGGCCAGGUCAGCUCAAGUUCUGACCUGAGGAUCAACCCUAGGAUCAGACCUAAGCUCCCACAGUCCAUACCCUUGAGACAAUCAGUCAUGAAGAAUCUGGUGGGGACCCCCCCCCACUUGGAAUUACUGCCCUCUGUAGAGUGACCUCGUUCACAGACCCCCCAGCCUCUCUCCAGAACCUCUCCUUCUUGGCGGAUGCUUUCUCAGCCAGUCAUUAUUUAUGUUUCAGAUAGCUUGAGAAGAAAACCACAAAUACAGCCAAGUUGAAUUGGCAACCAAAGCCUGAUCAUUCUUACUGUCAGGUCAUAUCCAGGAAUGUCUUAGCACCAAGGUAUCCAUUGUCAGUCCAAGAGAUAUAAUUGCCUGUCAUGGCAGUAACAAAUCCUGACACGGAUUCAUGCAAUGGCCAACAAAAGAGACAGUCCCUUGUGACGAGGUGCUGGUACUUCCACUCUGAUGAAGAGUCACGCAACUUCCACUCCGGUCUUGUCCUCUCCAGAGCCCAGAUUACCUAAGGCUACCCUUCAUUAAGGAUUGAGAACUGAAAUCUUCAGCCCAACCCUCCGCUACUCUUUUUGCCUUUCUUGUAAGCCCAGGACUGUAUCUCAUUGUUUGCUGUUCCCUCCUUAACUAGCAAAGUACCUGGAAGUUGAUGGAACAAAUGGAUUCCUGCCUCAGUUCCUAGGAAUGUACCAAGGCCAUUUGCAUUCAGCAGUCUUGCCCUGAGAUAGCGCUGUGGCUGGUUCCCCAGGACCAGGGCACAGAUAUUUCACAGUCAACAGCGGGGGGUUACCAGGGUUUCACACCAAGCCCUCCAUUGGAGGCAGACAUGAUGAGGAGACCAGCAAAGUGGCGGUCCUUCUGGCAGGAUGUGAAAACAAGAAGCGAACUGAUCAACACAAUUUUGCUUGGAAAGCAAAGCAUGUGCAGUAAUACGCACACCUGGGCGCAGCUGUCUUAAUGUGGCAGGGAUGCACAACAAACCGGGCAUCAUUUGGAGGGAGGGUAAUGAGGGACCAAGAGCAAGAAAACAAAGGAUGACUGCGCUCCGCGAAGGUCUCGACUCCCUUCUAAUUAGGCACAGUUGUUCUACAAAGUACGUAAUUAAUAAGCGUGUGACCAGAUGCAAAGUACAGCGGCGGCUCUUCCGGCGCUGGACGUGGUGAUGAAGUGUGCACAGCUGGAGGUAGUUGUUCUAAUUUGGCGGAGGCAGAAGGCCCGCCUGGAGUUUUGAGGAGGUGCAGCGAGAGCCGUACACCUGAAAGCAGCUCAUCCUAUUCCGACUGGGCCGGGGUGUAAUGAGAUGGAGCUAAUUAUCAGGAGUGUAAUGAGAUGCCAAAGCCCCUGGAGUUGAGCUGGAAAUUUCAAAGUGAGCUAAGCUGCAAACCCAAGAGAAGAAUUUCCACCGAUGGAGCCGGGUGUGAGUAGGAGGAAGUGUGCCUGAUUGAAAGACCUGCCUUCACGCCCCUGAGCCGAAGACUUCUGUCUGAAACUGCACAGGAUGCCAGGACCUUCCCCCACCUGGAGCAGGAGUCCCUGGGAACCUGAGAACACCAUGACCUGGAAAAGCUGCACAUGGAUUUCUUUUAAUGUGUAUAUGGUUUAUUUAUGUCCACACAACUGAAAAGAAAUCAAGUCAGGUGCUGUCGCGUGAGUGUCGUGGCCAUUAUAUUCCAUCUCAUUUAGAAAUGUGGCCUCAGAUUGCUGACUUUGCAAAUAGAUACUCCAGGAGGAGAAAAAUUAGCAACCUCCUCAUCUCAAACUUCUUUCAUUACCUACCAGCCACAUUUUCUUUCACGAGGAUUUAUUUACCGCCAGAGAGCAGGAAACCCCUUAAUACCUGUUUUCUGUUCACGGUUUUUAUUUUACAGUUGCUGUUAUUUUAGACACCAUUUAUUGAACACUGAAUAUACUUCCAUUUAAUCCACAUGCUGGAGUUCCUCCCAUGGCUCAGCAGUUAACGAAUCUGACUAGCAUCCAUGAGGACCCAGGUUCGAUCCCUGCCCUUGCUCCAUGGGUUAAGGAUCUGGCGUGGCCGUGAGCUGUGGUGUGGGUGACAGCCUCUGUGCGGAUCCUGCAUUACUGUGGCUGUGGCAUAGUCCGACAGCUGUAGCUCCCAUUCAACCCCUAGCCUGGAACCUCCGCCUGCCGCAGAUGCGGCCCU
This 2437-nucleotide long non-coding RNA is filed under the name Sus scrofa (pig). RNAcentral describes it as "lncRNA (ENSSSCG00005013102.1)". Lineage: Eukaryota; Metazoa; Chordata; Mammalia; Artiodactyla; Suidae. The record is from RNAcentral.